UACGUAGGUCCCGAGCGUUGUCCGGAUUUAUUGGGCGUAAAGCGAGCGCAGGUGGUUUAUUAAGUCUGGUGUAAAAGGCAGUGGCUCAACCAUUGUAUGCAUUGGAAACUGGUAGACUUGAGUGCCGGAGAGGUAGGCGGAAUUCCUAGUGUAGCGGUGAAAUGCGUAGAUAUUAGGAGGAACACCAGUGGCGAAGGCGGCCUACUGGACGGUGACUGACGCUGAGGCUCGAAAGCGUGGGGAGCAAACAGG
This 252-nucleotide ribosomal RNA is filed under the name uncultured bacterium. Its description in RNAcentral is "partial 16S ribosomal RNA". It matches the Rfam family "Bacterial small subunit ribosomal RNA", at positions 524 to 776 of the family's 1533-position model. The record is from RNAcentral.